CAACAAUCGAAAGGAGGUGAUCCAGUGUCUCAUUGUCAUCCGUCGCUCUCGUCGGCUUACAGGUCCUGGGUCCUUGCCUCUGCGGAGACCUACGCUUCGUAAUACGACGCCGAGCUUUCCGCUCGGAUUGCGGCCAGACAAUGGAAGGGUCGUUCCCCGGAACGACCCU
RNAcentral lists this small RNA (169 nucleotides) under Pseudoxanthobacter soli DSM 19599. Its description in RNAcentral is "caulobacter sRNA CC2171". It matches the Rfam family "caulobacter sRNA CC2171". The record is from Rfam by way of RNAcentral. Lineage: Bacteria; Pseudomonadati; Pseudomonadota; Alphaproteobacteria; Hyphomicrobiales; Segnochrobactraceae.